Molecule: non-coding RNA, 110 nt
Organism: Acanthosepion pharaonis
Lineage: Eukaryota; Metazoa; Mollusca; Cephalopoda; Sepiida; Sepiidae
Source: the annotation of a GenBank genome assembly
UACGGCCGCGUCAUGUUGAAAAUACCGGAUCCCGUAUGCUCACAGAUGCUAAGCAACGUCGAGCAUGAGUAAUACCUCGAUUGGUGACCACUUGCGAAUAACAGGUACUU